RNAcentral lists this ribosomal RNA (330 nucleotides) under Acanthamoeba genotype T4. RNAcentral describes it as "SSU rRNA". It matches the Rfam family "Eukaryotic small subunit ribosomal RNA", at positions 784 to 1093 of the family's 1831-position model. Lineage: Eukaryota; Discosea; Longamoebia; Acanthamoebidae. The record is from RNAcentral.
AUUUUCUGCCCCCGAAUACAUUAGCAUGGGAUAAUGGAAUAGGACCCUGUCCUCCUAUUUUCAGUUGGUUUUGGCAGCGCGAGGACUAGGGUAAUGAUUAAUAGGGAUAGUUGGGGGCAUUAAUAUUUAAUUGUCAGAGGUGAAAUUCUUGGAUUUAUGAAAGAUUAACUUCUGCGAAAGCAUCUGCCAAGGAUGUUUUCAUUAAUCAAGAACGAAAGUUAGGGGAUCGAAGACGAUCAGAUACCGUCGUAGUCUUAACCAUAAACGAUGCCGACCAGCGAUUAGGAGACGUUGAAUACAAAACACCACCAUCGGCGCGGUCGUCCNUGG